Molecule: ribosomal RNA, 305 nt
Filed under: uncultured bacterium
Lineage: Bacteria
Description: bacterial SSU rRNA
Rfam family: Bacterial small subunit ribosomal RNA
Source: RNAcentral
UGGUUCCUACGGGGGGCAGCAGUGAGGAAUAUUGGUCAAUGGGAGAGGUCCUGAACCAGCCAAGCCGCGUGAGGGAAGACGGCCCUAUGGGUUGUAAACCUCUUUUGUCGGAGAACAAAACCCGGGACGAGUCCCGGACUGCGUGUAUCCGAAGAAAAAGCAUCGGCUAACUCCGUGCCAGCAGCCGCGGUAAUACGGAGGAUGCGAGCGUUAUCCGGAUUUAUUGGGUUUAAAGGGUGCGCAGGCGGCGGGGUAAGUCAGCGGUAAAAUUUCGGGGCUCAACCCCGACGAGCCGUUGAAACUGG